Molecule: ribosomal RNA, 460 nt
Filed under: uncultured bacterium
Lineage: Bacteria
Description: partial 16S ribosomal RNA
Rfam family: Bacterial small subunit ribosomal RNA
Source: RNAcentral
CCUACGGGAGGCAGCAGUGAGGAAUAUUGGUCAAUGGACGAGAGUCUGAACCAGCCAAGUCGCGUGAAGGAUGACUGCCCUCUGGGUUGUAAACUUCUUUUAUAAAGGAAUAAAACGAGGCACGUGUGCCUUUUUGCAUGUACUUUAUGAAUUAGGAUCGGCUAACUCCGUGCCAGCAGCCGCGGUAAUACGGAGGAUCCGAGCGUUAUCCGGAUUUAUUGGGUUUAAAGGGAGCGUAGAUGGGUUGUUAAGUCAGUUGUGAAAGUUUGCGGCUCAACUGUAAAAUUGCAAUUGAUACUGGCAGUCUUGAGUACAGUUGAGGUAAGCGGAAUUCGUGGUGUAGCGGUGAAAUGCUUAGAUAUCACGAAGAACCCCGAUUGCGAAGGCAGCUUACUAAACUGUGACUGACGUUGAUGCUCGAAAGUGUGGGUAGCAAACAGGAUUAGAUACCCCGGUAGUC